RNAcentral lists this long non-coding RNA (386 nucleotides) under Brassica napus (rape). RNAcentral's name for it is "long non-coding RNA (BNAP_LNC000887)". The record is from RNAcentral. Lineage: Eukaryota; Viridiplantae; Streptophyta; Magnoliopsida; Brassicales; Brassicaceae.
UAUCUAGAUCUCAGAUUUCAACUUCCGUAUAAAAAUCACGAGAAAGUGUCGAUCGAUGAUUCUUAAAGAAAUAUCGAUCGAUACACCUUUCAAAAUAUCGAUCGACAAAACGAUUGUCACGUCGAUCGAUGCUUCUUCUAGAAAGCUUUACGAGUGGGUUUGAUUAGUGUUCUCUAAUCGACUAAACCAAAUUUCGUGUGUAUCUAGUCAGUUAGAUCAUACUUGUUCAGUUUCAGGUAUUGGGUCAAGCUAUUACUUGUCUCAAUUAAUGCUAGGAUCUUAGUUAAAGGUUGAUCAAUCCUAAACUUAGCAUUAAGAGCAACUAAAUGGAGAACUAUAUUUUAAACACCCUAGCAACAGUUCAUGUUAGCAAUACAUAAACCUAU